GUUUAGGGUUUAGGGUUUAGGGUUUAGGGUUUAGAGUUUAGGGUUUAGAAUUUAGAGUUUAGGGUUUAGGAUUUAAAGUUGAGAAAUGAGAUUUUGGGGAUAAGAUUUCAAAUUUUGAAAAAUAAAAAAAUUAAAAUUUUCAAAGUAUAAACUUAGAAAGGUGCUAUUUUGGUCAUUUUAGUUUUUGAGUGCUAUUUUUGUGAUAUAAACUUAGAAAGGUGCUAUUUUGAAGAUUUGCCCUAUAUAUAUUUAUAUAAUUCGCGUAAUUACACUAUACCCUCUCGUCUUUUUGGAUGUCGACCGUUUCGAUUUUUUUAAUUUUUUUUAGUUUUCCAUUUUUUUAUCACAAAAUCUAAUCAUUUAAAAUAGAGUCACUUUAUUAUUUACUAUACAAAUUACAAAAGUCAUAGUAAUUCCAUUUUAUUAGUUACAUGAUAAAAUAUGACAUAAUAAUCAAUAAAAAA
RNAcentral lists this long non-coding RNA (464 nucleotides) under Brassica napus (rape). RNAcentral's name for it is "long non-coding RNA (BNAP_LNC024047)". The record is from RNAcentral. Lineage: Eukaryota; Viridiplantae; Streptophyta; Magnoliopsida; Brassicales; Brassicaceae.